UACGUAGGGGGCGAGCGUUGUCCGGAUUUAUUGGGCGUAAAAGGCUUGUAGGUGGCCACGCCAAGUCGGAUGUGAAAUCUCCCGGCUCAACUGGGAGGGGUCAUUCGAUACUGGCGGGCUCGAGGCCGGUAGGGGGUAGCGGAAUUCCCGGUGUAGUGGUGGAAUGCGUAGAUAUCGGGAGGAACACCAGUGGCGAAGGCGGCUACCUGGACCGGUUCUGACACUGAGGAGCGAAAGCGUGGGGAGCGAACAGG
Molecule: ribosomal RNA, 254 nt
Filed under: uncultured bacterium
Lineage: Bacteria
Description: partial 16S ribosomal RNA
Rfam family: Bacterial small subunit ribosomal RNA
Source: RNAcentral